Molecule: long non-coding RNA, 549 nt
Filed under: Nicotiana benthamiana
Lineage: Eukaryota; Viridiplantae; Streptophyta; Magnoliopsida; Solanales; Solanaceae
Description: long non-coding RNA (NBEN_LNC040193)
Source: RNAcentral
GAUUAAGGGUAAUAAUUAGAGUGCGGGUGCUCAUUGGCCCCAUCAUCCAACCAAAUUAUUUCUUCUUAUCUCUUUGCUGUCUCACUAGGACACGUUACAUCUUUACAUAUAACUUUGCCUACUAUUUACAAGAUUUUUCUUGAAAUAAAUAAAUACUAGCCUAACAAGACAAAGACUUUUCUAGCCUAACAAGACUAGCCUAAAAAUAUUUUUCUUGAAAUAAAUAAAUACUAGCCUAACAAGACAAAGACUUUUCUAGCCUAAAAAUACUACACUUUUCUUGAAAUAAAUACUAGCCUAACAUGACAAGCACUUUUCUUGAAAAAUACUAGCCUAAUAAGACUAAAAUAUAAGCCUAACAGGACUAAACUGAAAUACUACGUUUUUUGAAAAUUACAAGUCUUUUCACAAAAAAACUCUUUUAGUCUUCAUUUUGCUCUUUGUCUUCUUCUUCUUUGACUUUUUCCAUAGUAGGUGGAAGAUAAACUUUAGGAAUAUUUUCUUUUUGGUUGCAAUAAUUGCAAUGGUGCAAGUUGAAUAAGUCCUUCA